GAUGAACGCUGGCGGCGUGCUUAACACAUGCAAGUCGAACGAAGCACUUAUAAAUCUUCGGAUGAGUAAGUGACUUAGUGGCGGACGGGUGAGUAACGCGUGGAUAACCUGCCUUAUACCGGGGGAUAACAUCCGGAAACGGAUGCUAAAACCGCAUAAGCGCACAGUGCCGCAUGGCAUGGUGUGAAAAACUCCGGAGGUAUAAGAUGGAUCCGCGUCUGAUUAGCCAGUUGGCGGGGUAACGGCCCACCAAAGCGACGAUCAGUAGCCGGCCUGAGAGGGUGAACGAGCACAUUGGGACUGAGACACGGCCCAAACUCCUACGGGAGGCAGCAGUGGGGAAUAUUGGACAAUGGGGGAAACCCUGAUCCAGCAACGCUGCGUGAAGGACGAAGGUCUUCGGAUUGUAAACUUCUUUUGUUGGGGACGAAAGCCCGCAAGGGUGUGACGGUACCCGAUGAAUAAGCCACGGCUAACUACGUGCCAGCAGCCGCCGUAA
Molecule: ribosomal RNA, 499 nt
Filed under: uncultured bacterium
Lineage: Bacteria
Description: partial 16S ribosomal RNA
Rfam family: Bacterial small subunit ribosomal RNA
Source: RNAcentral